UGAAACCACUGAGUGAAACUUCUGCACAUCAAGCGGUGGCUCCACACUCAGAGGAUGCAGAGUGUGAGGAGAAAUAAAUGCACUGACGUCACAUGUCCUCAGGGCAGCGAGGGUGGAGUGAGGUGGGACGGUUUGCACCAGUCAGUGACUCAGGCUUUCAUCUGUCUCCUCCCCUUCCCGGAGACACACUGUGUCCCCCAUUAACCAACGGGUGACUCCAGCCUCCGCCAUUCAGUGAAUGACCACACAGGUACACAGGUGUAUCUUCCGUUUAGAAUAAGGUUUGAUCCCAGAGCCGAGUCAUGCAUACCUGCUCUCCUCCAUCACCUCCAUCCAGUGCAUGCAGGUGACAGCGUUCUGCAUUGGAAACACGUGAAGGAUCUCUGCUUUCUCAACACCACACAGGACCACCUGCUUAGUGUCUCUGAGGUUGAAGGCCAAUACUGGAGAUUAAAGACAGAAUAACAGCUUCAUGUUCCCAUCAACAUGCAGACGACUAACAACAGAAAGAUGUACACAUGUCAUUC
Molecule: long non-coding RNA, 527 nt
Organism: Micropterus salmoides (largemouth bass)
Lineage: Eukaryota; Metazoa; Chordata; Actinopteri; Centrarchiformes; Centrarchidae
Exons: 3
Source: RefSeq, a predicted model, not a curated record